ACAACAUGUUGAAACACCGCUUCCCCUACGACCACUGAAGUUAAGCAACGUCAAGCCAGUUCCGUACCUUCAUGGUUGACCACUUGCGAAUGCCAUGUGCUGUAA
Molecule: non-coding RNA, 105 nt
Organism: Acanthosepion pharaonis
Lineage: Eukaryota; Metazoa; Mollusca; Cephalopoda; Sepiida; Sepiidae
Source: the annotation of a GenBank genome assembly